GGACGACGCUCGGCGGCGUGCUAACACACUGCAAGUCGAGCGAGUGGAGGUCUUCGGACAAAGCGUAGCGGCGGACGGGUGAGUAACACGUGGGCAACCUGCUCAUAGAGGGAAUAGCUCCGAAGGAGAUAUACGCAUAAGAUUGCAGCUUCGCAUGAAGUAGCAAUUAAAGGAGCAAUCCGCUAUGAGAUGGGCCCGCGGCGCAUUAGCUAGUUGGUGAGGUAAUGGCUCACCAAGGCGACGAUGCGUAGCCGACCUGAGAGGGUGAUCGGCCACAUUGGGACUGAGACACGGCCCAGACUCCUACGGGAGGGCAGCAGUGGGGAAUAUUGCACAAUGGGGGAAACCCUGAUGCAGCAACGCCGCGUGAGUGAUGACGGCCUUCGAGUUGUAAAGCUCUGUCUUCAGGGACGAUAAUGACGGUACCUGAGGAGGAAGCCACGGCUAACUACGUG
This 455-nucleotide ribosomal RNA is filed under the name uncultured Clostridium sp. RNAcentral describes it as "bacterial SSU rRNA". It matches the Rfam family "Bacterial small subunit ribosomal RNA", at positions 27 to 507 of the family's 1533-position model. The record is from RNAcentral. Lineage: Bacteria; Bacillati; Bacillota; Clostridia; Eubacteriales; Clostridiaceae.